RNAcentral lists this ribosomal RNA (301 nucleotides) under uncultured bacterium. RNAcentral describes it as "partial 16S ribosomal RNA". It matches the Rfam family "Bacterial small subunit ribosomal RNA", at positions 509 to 807 of the family's 1533-position model. The record is from RNAcentral.
CAGCAGCCGCGGUAAUACGUAGGGUGCGAGCGUUAAUCGGAAUUACUGGGCGUAAAGCGUGCGCAGGCGGUUCGUUAAGACAGAUGUGAAAUCCCCGGGCUUAACCUGGGAACUGCAUUUGUGACUGACGGGCUAGAGUAUGGCAGAGGGGGGUAGAAUUCCACGUGUAGCAGUGAAAUGCGUAGAGAUGUGGAGGAACACCUGUGGCGAAAGCGGCUCACUGGACAAUAACUGACGCCGAUGCACGAAAGCUAGGGGAGCAAACAGGAUUAGAUACCCCAGUAGUCCCUGUCUCUUAUAC